GGCCAGACUCCUACGGGAGGCAGCAGUGGGGGAUAUUGCACAAUGGGGGAAACCCUGAUGCAGCGACGCCGCGUGAGUGAAGAAGUAUUUCGGUAUGUAAAGCUCUAUCAGCAGGGAAGAAAAUGACAGUACCUGACCAAGAAGCCCCGGCUAACUACGUGCCAGCAGCCGCGGUAAUACGUAGGGGGCAAGCGUUAUCCGGAUUUACUGGGUGUAAAGGGAGCGUAGACGGCCGUGCAAGCCAGGAGUGAAAGCCCGGGGCCUAACCCCGGGACUGCUCUUGGAACUGUGCGGCUGGAGUGCGGGAGGGGCAGGCGGAAUUCCUGGUGUAGCGGUGAAAUGCGUAGAUAUCAGGAGGAACACCGGCGGCGAAGGCGGCCUGCUGGACCGCGACUGACGUUGAGGCUCGAAAGCGUGGGGAGCGAACAGGAUUAGAUACCCGUGUAC
RNAcentral lists this ribosomal RNA (447 nucleotides) under uncultured bacterium. RNAcentral describes it as "bacterial SSU rRNA". It matches the Rfam family "Bacterial small subunit ribosomal RNA", at positions 329 to 793 of the family's 1533-position model. The record is from RNAcentral.